CCAGCCAGUAGCUCAGAGAGCGCGGGGUCUGGACAGCCGCGCGCUGCGGGUCUCCGGGCGGGCGCCGCGGGACCUCGCUGGGCCAUGGCAGCCCCUGUCAAAGGGAACAGGAAGCAGUCCACGGAGGGUGACGCCCUAGACACACCUGCAUCCCCCACACCUGCUGGCGAGCAGAACGGGAUCCAGAACCCCACCUCACUGGAGGACUCCCCCGAGGCAGGCGGGGAGCGGGAGGAGGAGCAGGAGCGGGAGGAGGAGCAGGCCUUCCUGGUCAGCCUCUACAAGUUCAUGAAGGAGCGACACACGCCCAUCGAGAGGGUGCCCCAUCUCGGCUUCAAGCAGAUUAACCUGUGGAAGAUCUACAAGGCAGUGGAGAAGCUGGGGGCCUAUGAGCUGGUAAGGAAGGCACCUCCCAGUCCUUGCCAAACUGCAUAUCCCUGGGGUGAGCCUGCAGCGCUGUCCUUGCCUCUGGACAGAGGAAGAGCCAGGAUCCCCAGUCCUGCCCCUGCGUCCCUGCCUCCCUGCCUCCCCCGCUGGUACUCUGCUGCUCAAAGCAGCUUUUCAGCCUUCCCCAUCUGUUCUGCCCGCCCCGUAUUGGGAAAACUGCUUGGGCCAGCAGUCCGUGGCCCUAGGAGGGAGAAUCGGCUGGCCGCUGCUGGAGCCGCAGAGCAGCUGCCAAACUGCAGUCUUUCGAGUCCCUGCGAGGGCGGCCGGAGCUGCAAGGACCCCGCCGCCAGGGGGCGCCCGCUGGCCGCGCCCUCACGAGGUGCCCUUGCAGGUGACCGGGCGCCGCCUCUGGAAGAACGUGUACGACGAGCUGGGGGGCAGCCCGGGCAGCACCAGCGCGGCCACGUGCACGCGCCGCCACUACGAGAG
Molecule: small RNA, 876 nt
Filed under: Pongo abelii (Sumatran orangutan)
Lineage: Eukaryota; Metazoa; Chordata; Mammalia; Primates; Hominidae
Description: retained intron
Source: RNAcentral